Molecule: non-coding RNA, 117 nt
Filed under: Nomascus leucogenys (northern white-cheeked gibbon)
Lineage: Eukaryota; Metazoa; Chordata; Mammalia; Primates; Hylobatidae
Source: Rfam by way of RNAcentral
GCCGGGCGUAGUGGCUCACGCCUGUAAUCCCAGCACUUUGGGAGGCAGAGGUGGGUGGAUCACCUGAGGUCAGGAGUUCAAGACCAGCCUGGCCAACAUGGUGAAACCCCGUCUCUA